AGUAACGCGUGGAUAACCUGCCUCACACUGGGGGAUAACAGUUAGAAAUGACUGCUAAUACCGCAUAAGCGCACAGUACCGCAUGGUACAGUGUGAAAAACUCCGGUGGUGUGAGAUGGAUCCGCGUCUGAUUAGCCAGUUGGCGGGGUAACGGCCCACCAAAGCGACGAUCAGUAGCCGACCUGAGAGGGUGACCGGCCACAUUGGGACUGAGACAUGGCCCAA
RNAcentral lists this ribosomal RNA (225 nucleotides) under uncultured bacterium. RNAcentral describes it as "partial 16S ribosomal RNA". It matches the Rfam family "Bacterial small subunit ribosomal RNA", at positions 109 to 334 of the family's 1533-position model. The record is from RNAcentral.